CGGCAAUUGGCUUUCUUCUCAUUUCAUCACUGUUUGGCGUCCGUACACCUUGGGGCGGAAAAGAAACCAGAGAGGAGACUCAGUAGCUGCUGUAUCUGUUGUAGGACCUUGGAGGCUGGAGGCUUGCGCUUGGGCGUCCAGGCGUCUCUCACUCCCGUCCCCAAGAAAUCUAUGGGGCAGCCAUGCGUCCUGACCAGCGCUUUCUAGAACGCACCUGCUGGGGGGAAACUCGAGGAACGCGCUUAGGAUGGCUGCGAAGAGGAAGGAACUCUGAGACUGGCCCACUUUAUCAAAUAAUCUGGCUUUUUCUAUGUGAAUUAGG
Molecule: long non-coding RNA, 322 nt
Filed under: Homo sapiens (human)
Lineage: Eukaryota; Metazoa; Chordata; Mammalia; Primates; Hominidae
Description: PREDICTED lncRNA (TCONS_00273300)
Source: RNAcentral